RNAcentral lists this ribosomal RNA (872 nucleotides) under Klebsiella pneumoniae. RNAcentral describes it as "bacterial SSU rRNA". It matches the Rfam family "Bacterial small subunit ribosomal RNA", at positions 1 to 864 of the family's 1533-position model. The record is from RNAcentral. Lineage: Bacteria; Pseudomonadati; Pseudomonadota; Gammaproteobacteria; Enterobacterales; Enterobacteriaceae.
AAAUUGAAGAGUUUGAUCAUGGCUCAGAUUGAACGCUGGCGGCAGGCCUAACACAUGCAAGUCGAGCGGUAGCACAGAGAGCUUGCUCUCGGGUGACGAGCGGCGGACGGGUGAGUAAUGUCUGGGAAACUGCCUGAUGGAGGGGGAUAACUACUGGAAACGGUAGCUAAUACCGCAUAAUGUCGCAAGACCAAAGUGGGGGACCUUCGGGCCUCAUGCCAUCAGAUGUGCCCAGAUGGGAUUAGCUAGUAGGUGGGGUAACGGCUCACCUAGGCGACGAUCCCUAGCUGGUCUGAGAGGAUGACCAGCCACACUGGAACUGAGACACGGUCCAGACUCCUACGGGAGGCAGCAGUGGGGAAUAUUGCACAAUGGGCGCAAGCCUGAUGCAGCCAUGCCGCGUGUGUGAAGAAGGCCUUCGGGUUGUAAAGCACUUUCAGCGGGGAGGAAGGCGUUAAGGUUAAUAACCUUGGCGAUUGACGUUACCCGCAGAAGAAGCACCGGCUAACUCCGUGCCAGCAGCCGCGGUAAUACGGAGGGUGCAAGCGUUAAUCGGAAUUACUGGGCGUAAAGCGCACGCAGGCGGUCUGUCAAGUCGGAUGUGAAAUCCCCGGGCUCAACCUGGGAACUGCAUUCGAAACUGGCAGGCUAGAGUCUUGUAGAGGGGGGUAGAAUUCCAGGUGUAGCGGUGAAAUGCGUAGAGAUCUGGAGGAAUACCGGUGGCGAAGGCGGCCCCCUGGACAAAGACUGACGCUCAGGUGCGAAAGCGUGGGGAGCAAACAGGAUUAGAUACCCUGGUAGUCCACGCCGUAAACGAUGUCGAUUUGGAGGUUGUGCCCUUGAGGCGUGGCUUCCGGAGCUAACGCGUUAAA